GUCAGAAAAGGCCCUUGCUCCUGGUUAUCCGUCGACCUAAUUUUUCUUUUUUAAAAAAAAAAUCGAUGAACGAAUCUUUUUUAAUAUUUGUAUCGAAUAUAAAAUAAUAUUUUUAUUUUCCUUGACAAGGAUUUAAAGGCGCCGAUGUCUGCAGUGGACAUCUAACAACCCUUGAUUCUGUUACAAUAGAAAUUAUAAUGCCGGAUUUGGGUUCAUUACAUGCGGAUAUCAGUGCUGUUUAAUC
Molecule: long non-coding RNA, 244 nt
Filed under: Elaeis guineensis (African oil palm)
Lineage: Eukaryota; Viridiplantae; Streptophyta; Magnoliopsida; Arecales; Arecaceae
Description: long non-coding RNA (EGUI_LNC024001)
Source: RNAcentral